RNAcentral lists this ribosomal RNA (264 nucleotides) under Dentiscutata nigra. Its description in RNAcentral is "partial 28S ribosomal RNA". Lineage: Eukaryota; Fungi; Glomeromycota; Glomeromycetes; Diversisporales; Gigasporaceae. The record is from RNAcentral.
CUCUUUGGUGCACUUCUUCGCUUGGCAGGUUAGCUUCAAUUUUGGAUGUCAUAAAAUUAUUGGGGGAAGGUAGCUCCUUUCGGGGAGUGUUAUAGACCUUGGUAGAUGUGAUGACCGGGAUCGAGGAUUGCAGCGGAUACCCUUUUGGGCUAGUCACCUGAUCUCUAACUGAUAUUGGGUUACGGACAGCAUGCUGACCAUUGUCUAAUUAUUGGUUAAAAGGUUAGAGCGAGUGUAAAUUCGUUAAGGAUGUUGACGUAAAAA